UCCAUUGUGCCUGGUCUGACAUUGUCUCA
Molecule: non-coding RNA, 29 nt
Filed under: Rattus norvegicus (Norway rat)
Lineage: Eukaryota; Metazoa; Chordata; Mammalia; Rodentia; Muridae
Source: RNAcentral